CUUAACCUACAGACUGCGUUUGAAACUUGUAUAUCUUGAGAGCAGCAGAGGAAGGCGGAAUUCCUGGUGUAGUGGUGAAAUACGUAGAUAUCAGGAAGAACACCAGUGGCGAAGGCGGUCUUCUGGGCUGCAUCUGACGCUCAUGUACGAAAGCUGGGGUAGCGAACGGGAUUAGAUACCCCGGUAGUCCCAGCUGUAAACGAUGGACACUAGGUGUUGGCGGUUCGAAUCCGUCAGUGCCGGAGUUAACGCAUUAAGUGUCCCGCCUGGGGAAUACGGUCGCAAGACUGAAACUCAAAGGAAUUGACGGGGGCCCGCACAAGCGGUGGAGCAUGUGGUUUAAUUCGAUGCAACGCGAAGAACCUUACCGAGAAUUGACAUCCCGUGACUACCUGUGAGAGCAGGGUUUGGUACUUUGUAUCACAC
Molecule: ribosomal RNA, 426 nt
Filed under: uncultured bacterium
Lineage: Bacteria
Description: bacterial SSU rRNA
Rfam family: Bacterial small subunit ribosomal RNA
Source: RNAcentral